GAUGAACGCUGGCGGCGUGCUUAACACAUGCAAGUCGAACGAAGCGCUUAAACGGAUUUCUUCGGAAUGAAGUUUUUGCGACUGAGUGGCGGACGGGUGAGCAACGCGUGGGUAACCUGCCUCAUACAGGGGGAUAACAGUUAGAAAUGACUGCUAAUACCGCAUAAGACCACAGGAUCGCAUGAUCCGGUGGUAAAAACUCCGGUGGUAUGAGAUGGACCCGCGUCUGAUUAGCUAGUUGGUGGGGUAACGGCUCACCAAGGCGACGAUCAGUAGCCGGACUGAGAGGUUGAACGGCCACAUUGGGACUGAGAUACGGCCCAG
This 324-nucleotide ribosomal RNA is filed under the name uncultured bacterium. RNAcentral describes it as "bacterial SSU rRNA". It matches the Rfam family "Bacterial small subunit ribosomal RNA", at positions 28 to 334 of the family's 1533-position model. The record is from RNAcentral.